UACGUAGGGCGCAAGCGUUAUCCGGAAUUAUUGGGCGUAAAGAGCUCGUAGGCGGCUUUGUAAGUUAGAGGUGAAAGCCCGGGGCUCAACUCCGGAAUUGCCUUUAAGACUGCAUCGCUAGAAUUGUGGAGAGGUAAGUGGAAUUCCGAGUGUAGAGGUGAAAUUCGUAGAUAUUCGGAAGAACACCAGUGGCGAAGGCGACUUACUGGACACAUAUUGACGCUGAGGUGCGAAAGCGUGGGGAGCAAACAGG
Molecule: ribosomal RNA, 253 nt
Filed under: uncultured bacterium
Lineage: Bacteria
Description: partial 16S ribosomal RNA
Rfam family: Bacterial small subunit ribosomal RNA
Source: RNAcentral